GUAGGUGGCAAGCGUUGUCCGGAAUUAUUGGGCGUAAAGCGCGCGCAGGCGGUUCUUUAAGUCUGAUGUGAAAGCCCACGGCUCAACCGUGGAGGGUCAUUGGAAACUGGAGGACUUGAGUACAGAAGAGGAAAGCGGAAUUCCACGUGUAGCGGUGAAAUGCGUAGAGAUGUGGAGGAACACCAGUGGCGAAGGCGGCUUUUCUGGUCUGUAACUGACGCUGAGGCGCGAAAGCGUGGGGAGCAAACAGGGAUUAGAUACCCUGGUAGUCCACGCCGUAAACGAUGAGUGCUAAGUGUUAGGGGGUUUCCGCCCCCUUAGUGCUGCAGCUAACGCAUUAAGCACUCCGCCUGGGGAGUACGGCCGCAAGGCUG
Molecule: ribosomal RNA, 374 nt
Filed under: uncultured organism
Description: partial 16S ribosomal RNA
Rfam family: Bacterial small subunit ribosomal RNA
Source: RNAcentral